UAGGGAAUCUUCGGCAAUGGACGAAAGUCUGACCGAGCAACGCCGCGUGAGUGAAGAAGGUUUACGGAUCGUAAAACUCUGUUGUUAGAGAAGAACAAGGACGUUAGUAACUGAACGUCCCCUGACGGUAUCUAACCAGAAAGCCACGGCUAACUACGUGCCAGCAGCCGCGGUAAUACGUAGGUGGCAAGCGUUGUCCGGAUUUAUUGGGCGUAAAGCGAGCGCAGGCGGUUUCUUAAGUCUGAUGUGAAAGCCCCCGGCUCAACCGGGGAGGGUCAUUGGAAACUGGGAGACUUGAGUGCAGAAGAGGAGAGUGGAAUUCCAUGUGUAGCGGUGAAAUGCGUAGAUAUAUGGAGGAACACCAGUGGCGAAGGCGGCUCUCUGGUCUGUAACUGACGCUGAGGCUCGAAAGCGUGGGGAGCAAACAGG
This 429-nucleotide ribosomal RNA is filed under the name Chloroflexota bacterium. RNAcentral describes it as "Chloroflexi bacterium partial 16S ribosomal RNA". It matches the Rfam family "Bacterial small subunit ribosomal RNA", at positions 355 to 776 of the family's 1533-position model. Lineage: Bacteria; Bacillati; Chloroflexota. RNAcentral also lists the same sequence under 1 other name. The record is from RNAcentral.